GGCGCUAUGGUGUAGUGGUAACACAUGGGAUUCUGACAUUCAGCGUUCCCAUGACCCAGGUUCGAACCCUAGUAGCGCCU
Molecule: non-coding RNA, 80 nt
Organism: Desarmillaria tabescens
Lineage: Eukaryota; Fungi; Basidiomycota; Agaricomycetes; Agaricales; Physalacriaceae
Source: the annotation of a RefSeq genome assembly